This 303-nucleotide ribosomal RNA is filed under the name Triticum aestivum (bread wheat). Its description in RNAcentral is "partial small subunit ribosomal RNA". Lineage: Eukaryota; Viridiplantae; Streptophyta; Magnoliopsida; Poales; Poaceae. The record is from RNAcentral.
AUGGCGCCUCUAGGGGUGAACGAGCAGGGGAGGGCCAAGAGGCCAGCGGUGUGGGGUGGAGCAGCGAGGCCGGUGACCCAGGCGGCGGACGCCUCACGGGGUGGAGGAGAGGCUGGCGACAGAGAAGGAGCAGAAUCCUCAUGGAGCAGCAGGGAAGGUGAAGUCCCGACGGCUGAAGAUGGUACGCACGGGAGGAGCUCGGAUGAUGUCAAGGUGAGCUUCUCUCAAUCCUUCUCCCCCUUCACGCCUCUUGCAAUUUUUUUUCUUGUUUUAGAUCAUUUGAAGGUGAGUGUAGUCUUGUGA